CAGUAGCCACGGUAAUACGAGGGGAGCUAGCGUUGUUCGGAAUUACUGGGCGUAAAGCGCGCGUAGGCGGCUUUUUAAGUCAGAGGUGAAAGCCCGGGGCUCAACCCCGGAAUUGCCUUUGAAACUGGAAAGCUAGAAUCUUGGAGAGGUCAGUGGAAUUCCGAGUGUAGAGGUGAAAUUCGUAGAUAUUCGGAAGAACACCAGUGGCGAAGGCGACUGACUGGACAAGUAUUGACGCUGAUGUGCGAAAGCGUGGGGAGCAAACAGGAUUAGAUACCCCGGUAGUCCCUGUCUCUUAUAC
Molecule: ribosomal RNA, 301 nt
Filed under: uncultured bacterium
Lineage: Bacteria
Description: partial 16S ribosomal RNA
Rfam family: Bacterial small subunit ribosomal RNA
Source: RNAcentral